UGAAUCCACUCAGUUGGAUCCUUCCUUGUAGUUGAGGUGACGACAGGUAGCCUUGAGGGUAUACUUCUCCUUGGAGGGCGAGCUCUGAUCUAAGUGGUCUAUGUGAACCCUUGAUGUUUCCUUCAGAGAUGAAUCCUAUCCGGCCAUUUUGCCAAAGAGGGUUAGUGACCUUUAGGAAAAUCUACAUUGCCAAGGUUUAUGAGGUACGAGUUCACCUAUUGUAACUUGUCAAACUACCUGCUAAACUAUUGAGAAGGCUAGUAUAAAUGCUGUGAGAAAUUUCCUUGACUUUGCACUACAGACACCAGGCCAAAGCACAUAAUUUGGUUGAACUUAAUGGUAGAAGAGAUCUCAAAGGAAAUCCUUCUUCGCAGCAUCAUCCAAGUAACUGGGUUGGUGCAGGUGAUGACGAUGAUGAUGAAGAUGAGGAUGAGGAUGAGGAUGAGGAUGAGCUAUAUGUGCAGUCAACACCUAAAUGAAAAUAUUCAAAUGGAUGGUUUAUUUCUUUUUCUGUUUCUGAACUGUUGGGUUGCUAUAAUUCUGCGAACCUUUUGUUAUCUCAAUUUCUAUCACAGGCUUCUUCAUUUAUAAUAAAAAUUGUAGUGGCAUGUACUCAA
Long non-coding RNA from Dendrobium catenatum, 617 nucleotides. RefSeq lists it as uncharacterized. The record is from RefSeq and is a predicted model, not a curated record. The transcript has 2 exons. Lineage: Eukaryota; Viridiplantae; Streptophyta; Magnoliopsida; Asparagales; Orchidaceae.